This 465-nucleotide ribosomal RNA is filed under the name uncultured bacterium. RNAcentral describes it as "partial 16S ribosomal RNA". It matches the Rfam family "Bacterial small subunit ribosomal RNA", at positions 28 to 507 of the family's 1533-position model. The record is from RNAcentral.
GACGAACGCUGGCGGCGUGCUUAACACAUGCAAGUCGAACGGAAAGGCCCUGCUUGCAGGGUACUCGAGUGGCGAACGGGUGAGUAACACGUGGGUGAUCUGCCCUGCACUUCGGGAUAAGCCUGGGAAACUGGGUCUAAUACCGGAUAGGAGCCAUUUUUAGUGUGAUGGUUGGAAAGUUUUUUCGGUGUAGGAUGAGCUCGCGGCCUAUCAGCUUGUUGGUGGGGUAAUGGCCUACCAAGGCGGCGACGGGUAGCCGGCCUGAGAGGGGGGACGGCCACAUUGGGACUGAGAUACGGCCCAGACUCCUACGGGAGGCAGCAGUGGGGAAUAUUGCACAAUGGGCGCAAGCCUGAUGCAGCGACGCCGCGUGGGGGAUGACGGCCUUCGGGUUGUAAACUCCUUUCGCUAGGGACGAAGCUUUUUGUGACGGUACCUAGAUAAGAAGCACCGGCUAACUACGUG